RNAcentral lists this ribosomal RNA (715 nucleotides) under uncultured bacterium. RNAcentral's name for it is "bacterial SSU rRNA". It matches the Rfam family "Bacterial small subunit ribosomal RNA", at positions 777 to 1500 of the family's 1533-position model. The record is from RNAcentral.
AUUAGAUACCCUGGUAGUCCACGCAGUAAACGAUGAAUACUAACUGUCCGGGACGAUUGAGUCCUGGGUGGUACAGCGAAAGCGUUAAGUAUUCCACCUGGGGAGUACGCCGGCAACGGUGAAACUCAAAGGAAUUGACGGGGGCCCGCACAAGCGGAGGAACAUGUGGUUUAAUUCGAUGAUACGCGAGGAACCUUACCCGGGCUCAAACGCGGCGUGAAUACUUUUGAAAGGAGGUAGUCAGCAAUGACACGCCGCGAGGUGCUGCAUGGUUGUCGUCAGCUCGUGCCGUGAGGUGUCGGCUUAAGUGCCAUAACGAGCGCAACCCCUGUCGACAGUUGCUAACAGGUUAGGCUGAGGACUCUGUCGAGACUGCCGGCGCAAGCUGUGAGGAAGGCGGGGAUGACGUCAAAUCAGCACGGCCCUUACGUCCGGGGCGACACACGUGUUACAAUGGCAGGUACAGCGGGAAGCCACCCGGCGACGGGGCGCGGAACCCGAAAACCUGUCUCAGUUCGGAUUGGAGUCUGCAACCCGACUCCAUGAAGCUGGAUUCGCUAGUAAUCGCGCAUCAGCCACGGCGCGGUGAAUACGUUCCCGGGCCUUGUACACACCGCCCGUCAAGCCAUGGAAGCCGGGGGUACCUGAAGUACGUGACCGCAAGGAGCGUCCUAAGGUAAAACCGGUGACUGGGGCUAAGUCGUAACAAGGUAAC